RNAcentral lists this small nuclear RNA (303 nucleotides) under Vulpes vulpes (red fox). Its description in RNAcentral is "7SK RNA (ENSVVUG00000000601.1)". It matches the Rfam family "7SK RNA". From Rfam's summary of the family: 7SK was discovered as an abundant small nuclear RNA in the mid-70s but a possible function has only recently been suggested. The record is from Rfam by way of RNAcentral. Lineage: Eukaryota; Metazoa; Chordata; Mammalia; Carnivora; Canidae.
GUAUGUGAGGGCAAUCUGGCUGUGACAUCUGUCACCCCCAUUGAUUGUCGAGGUUGAUUUGGCUGACUAGGUGCAUGUCCCCUUUCGCCCUCAGCACUCCAUGUGCAUCCCUCCUGAAGCUGCAAGCUCUGUUGAAGAGGACCACCUUCCCUGAUAGAGGAGGACCAUUCUUUGGUCAAGGGUAUAGGAGUAGCUGUGCUUUCUUUCCUCUCAAGGGCCAUUUGUAGGAGAAUGGUUAGUCAAGCUUCCAAGACUCUAGACACAUCCAGAUGAGGUGCUGCAUGUGGCAGGUUGCCUUUCUUU